Molecule: ribosomal RNA, 465 nt
Filed under: uncultured bacterium
Lineage: Bacteria
Description: partial 16S ribosomal RNA
Rfam family: Bacterial small subunit ribosomal RNA
Source: RNAcentral
CCUACGUGGUGCUGCAGUGGGGAAUAUUGCGCAAUGGGCGAAAGCCUGACGCAGCGACGCCGCGUGAGGGAUGAAGGUCUUCGGAUCGUAAACCUCUGUCAGCAGGGAAGAACGGUCACUGUGCUAAUCAGCCGUGAAUUGACGGUACCUGCAAAGGAAGCACCGGCUAACUCCGUGCCAGCAGCCGCGGUAAUACGGCGGGUGCGAGCGUUAAUCGGAAUUACUGGGCGUAAAGCGCUCGUAGGCGGUAUGUCAAGUCAAGGGUGAAAUCCCCGCGCUCAACGUGGGAACUGCCUUUGAAACUGGCAAACUGGAGUGUGUGAGAGGAUAGUGGAAUUCCAGGUGUAGGAGUGAAAUCCGUAGAGAUCUGGAGGAACAUCAGUGGCGAAGGCGACUAUCUGGCACAUAACUGACGCUGAGGAGCGAAAGCGUGGGUAGCAAACAGGAUUAGAUACCCCUGUAGUC